UUGAUCUCAAAUCAGGUAGGAGUACCCGCUGAACUUAAGCAUAUC
This 45-nucleotide ribosomal RNA is filed under the name Mallocybe isabellina. RNAcentral's name for it is "partial large subunit ribosomal RNA". Lineage: Eukaryota; Fungi; Basidiomycota; Agaricomycetes; Agaricales; Inocybaceae. RNAcentral also lists the same sequence under 1 other name. The record is from RNAcentral.